GUGGGGAAUAUUGGACAAUGGGCGAAAGCCUGAUCCAGCCAUGCCGCGUGAGUGAUGAAGGCCUUAGGGUUGUAAAGCUCUUUCAGUAGGGAAGAUAAUGACGGUACCUACAGAAGAAGCCCCGGCUAACUUCGUGCCAGCAGCCGCGGUAAUACGAAGGGGGCUAGCGUUGUUCGGAUUUACUGGGCGUAAAGCGCACGUAGGCGGAUUGGUCAGUUAGAGGUGAAAUCCUGGAGCUCAACUCCAGAACUGCCUUUAAUACUGCCAGUCUAGAGUCCAGAAGAGGUGAGUGGAACUCCUAGUGUAGAGGUGGAAUUCGUAGAUAUUAGGAAGAACACCAGUGGCGAAGGCGGCUCACUGGUCUGGUACUGACGCUGAGGUGCGAAAGCGUGGGGAGCAAACAGGAUUAGAUACCCCUGUAGUAC
This 425-nucleotide ribosomal RNA is filed under the name uncultured bacterium. Its description in RNAcentral is "partial 16S ribosomal RNA". It matches the Rfam family "Bacterial small subunit ribosomal RNA", at positions 354 to 796 of the family's 1533-position model. The record is from RNAcentral.